CCUACGGGCGGCAGCAGUGAGGAAUAUUGGUCAAUGGACGAGAGUCUGAACCAGCCAAGUAGCGUGAAGGAUGACUGCCCUAUGGGUUGUAAACCUCUUUUAUAUGGGAAUAAAAUGUUCCACGUGUGGGAUUUUGUAUGUACCAUAUGAAUACGGAUCGGCUAACUCCGUGCCAGCAGCCGCGGUAAUACGGAGGAUCCGAGCGUUAUCCGGCUUUAUUGGGUUUAAAGGGAGCGUAGGGGGAUUGGUAAGUCAGUUGUGAACGUUUGCGGCUCAACCGUAACAUUGCAGUUGAAACUGGCAGUGUUGAGUACAGGAGAGGUGGGCGGAAUGCGUGGUGUAGCGGUGAAAUGCUUAGAUAUCACGAAGAACUCCGAUCGCGAAGGCAGCUCACUGGACUGCAACUGACACUGAGGCACGAAAGUGUGGGUAUCAAACAGGAUUAGAUACCCCUGUAGUC
RNAcentral lists this ribosomal RNA (460 nucleotides) under uncultured bacterium. RNAcentral describes it as "partial 16S ribosomal RNA". It matches the Rfam family "Bacterial small subunit ribosomal RNA", at positions 338 to 795 of the family's 1533-position model. The record is from RNAcentral.